This 301-nucleotide ribosomal RNA is filed under the name uncultured bacterium. Its description in RNAcentral is "partial 16S ribosomal RNA". It matches the Rfam family "Bacterial small subunit ribosomal RNA", at positions 509 to 807 of the family's 1533-position model. The record is from RNAcentral.
CAGCCGCCGCGGGAAUACGAAGGGUGCAAGCGUUACUCGGAAUUACUGGGCGUAAAGCGUGCGUAGGUGGUGGUUUAAGUCCGUCGUGAAAGCCCUGGGCUCAACCUGGGAAUUGCAGUGGAUACUGGAUCACUAGAGUGUGGUAGAGGAUAGUGGAAUUUCCGGUGUAGCAGUGAAAUGCGUAGAGAUCGGAAGGAACAUCUGUGGCGAAGGCGACUAUCUGGGCCAACACUGACACUGAGGCACGAAAGCGUGGGGAGCAAACAGGAUUAGAUACCCCUGUAGUCCCUGUCUCUUAUAC